Molecule: ribosomal RNA, 252 nt
Filed under: uncultured bacterium
Lineage: Bacteria
Description: partial 16S ribosomal RNA
Rfam family: Bacterial small subunit ribosomal RNA
Source: RNAcentral
UACGUAGGGUGCGAGCGUUGUCCGGAAUUAUUGGGCGUAAAGGGCUCGUAGGCGGUUUGUCGCGUCGGGAGUGAAAUCCACUGGCUUAACUGGUGGCUUGCUUCGAUACGGGCAGACUGGAGGUAUGCAGGGGAGAACGGAAUUCCUGGUGUAGCGGUGAAAUGCGCAGAUAUCAGGAGGAACACCGGUGGCGAAGGCGGUUCUCUGGGCAUUACCUGACGCUGAGGCGCGAAAGCUAGGGGAGCAAACAGG